ACCAGUCAUGCCACCAGUAGAUUAAAAAAAGGCAUGAUAAGCAUAAAUGCUUUCUUGAAUAGAAAUAUGUUAAUUACAAUGCAUUCAGGUAGAGAGCUGCUUCUAAUUUCUAUUUACAUGGAAGCAAUCGCAAGACCAAUCAUACAAUACAGCAAACAUGCAACCGAUAGAUAAUAUAUUUGAACUAUCUGCCUUGAAAAUAUAUAACACAUAUUCUUCAGUUAUGCACUGAACCCCUUGUGAAGAGAGCUCCAUGGACCAGAUGGAAAGUUGACACAAGCUUGUGCAGAUGCUUCGGCCAUCUGUUCCUUUCCAAUUCCGGCAUUGCAGAGGUUUGCAAGAGAGCGCAUGUGCUUCAUUCCAUACUGGGACAAGGAUCCACAAUGUGUCUCAAAUGUCCUCACCAGUGUUCUGAGGCAAGCCCAAUCAUCAACAAGAGGUUGCCCAGCAGGACGAACAGUGUUCAGCACCUCGGAGGCUUUUCCAAUUCCAAAUAGCAGCUUCCCAACAAGUUUUAUGCUGUUGUCUAUAUGCAUCCUAUGAGACAUUGCUUCAACAAACUGCUUUUGAGCUUGAACCUUUCUUGUAGAGCCAUCAGGGGCCUUGUGGUACUUAUCCCAGAAAUGGACAAGAUCAGCAUCACGCUGGUUAACAGCUUUUGAAGGUGGUAUCAAAGAGUUCUCAUCCACGAAAGUAGAGUUAUCAUUUGCAGGAUUUGUUCCCAUAUACACAAAGAGGUUAUCUGUGCCAAGUCCUAUAUCACCAUAGUGCAUGACAUGAGAUCCAUAUGCAGAGUUGCCAUUUGCAGUUCUCCUUUUAACCAGUUGAUAUUG
This 833-nucleotide unclassified non-coding RNA is filed under the name Hevea brasiliensis (rubber tree). Lineage: Eukaryota; Viridiplantae; Streptophyta; Magnoliopsida; Malpighiales; Euphorbiaceae. The record is from RNAcentral.